AGCUUGGGAGCUAGAAAUGGAGGCAGACCAUUUUUGCAUGAGGGGAUCCUUUAUCGCAUUGGUCAGGACUGUGGUGAAACAUAUGGACACCAAGUGCGAGUCUUCAAGGUGGAAGUUCUUACCAAGAAUGAUUAUAAAGAAGUUGAAGUCUCCUUGGGCUUUGAAGAAUCCAGAAAGGGACGGAAUGCUUGGAAUGGUGCUCGUUACCAUCAUCUUGAUGUGCAGCAGUUAAGUUCUGGCAAAUGGAUUGGGGUUAUGGAUGGGGACCGUGUACCUUCUGGAGACUUGGUCCGUCGGUUUGUUCUUGGCUGUGCUUCGCUUGCAGCAGUUACUGCAAUUGUUGUGGUAUUGGGUGUGCUGCUAGGAGCUGUGAAAUGUAUUAUCCCCCUCAAUUGGUGUGCUUACUACUCGGGGAAGAGGAGUGAUACUCUUUUGGUCUGGGAAAGGUCGAAUGCAUUUUCUUCAAAGGUAAGAAGGUUUUGUGGUCGCUUGAACAGAGCAGCAUCAUCUCUCCGUGUAAAAAUAAGGCCUAAUACUUGGGCUGGAAG
Molecule: unclassified non-coding RNA, 548 nt
Filed under: Hevea brasiliensis (rubber tree)
Lineage: Eukaryota; Viridiplantae; Streptophyta; Magnoliopsida; Malpighiales; Euphorbiaceae
Source: RNAcentral